UACGAAGGGGGCUAGCGUUGUUCGGAUUUACUGGGCGUAAAGCGCAACGUAGGCGGAUCUUUAAGUCAGGGGUGAAAUCCCGAGGCUCAACCUCGGAACUGCCUUUGAUACUGAGGAUCUUGAGUUCGGGAGAGGUGAGUGGAACUGCGAGUGUAGAGGUGAAAUUCGUAGAUAUUCGCAAGAACACCAGUGGCGAAGGCGGCUCACUGGCCCGAUACUGACGCUGAUGCACGAAAGCGUGGGGAGCAAACAGG
RNAcentral lists this ribosomal RNA (254 nucleotides) under uncultured bacterium. RNAcentral's name for it is "partial 16S ribosomal RNA". It matches the Rfam family "Bacterial small subunit ribosomal RNA", at positions 524 to 776 of the family's 1533-position model. The record is from RNAcentral.